CCUACGGGUGGCUGCAGUGGGGGAUAUUGCACAAUGGGGGGAACCCUGAUGCAGCGACGCCGCGUGGGUGAAGAAGCGCCUCGGCGCGUAAAGCCCUGUCAGCAGGGAAGAAAAUGACGGUACCUGAAAAAGAAGCCCCGGCUAACUACGUGCCAGCAGCCGCGGUAAUCGGAAGGGGGCUGGGGUUAUCCGGAAUUACGGGGCGUAAGGGGGGCGUAGGUGGGUUCUUAAGUCAGAGGGGAAAGGCUACGGCCAAACCGUAGUAAGCCUUUGAAACUGGGGAGCUUGAGUGCAGGAGAGGGGAGUGGAAUUCCUAGUGUAGCGGUGAAAUGCGUAGAUAUUAGGAGGAACACCAGUUGCGAAGGCGGCUCUCUGGACUGUAACUGACGCUGAGGCACGAAAGCGUGGGGAGCAAACAGGAUUAGAUACCCUGGUAGUC
Molecule: ribosomal RNA, 439 nt
Filed under: uncultured bacterium
Lineage: Bacteria
Description: partial 16S ribosomal RNA
Rfam family: Bacterial small subunit ribosomal RNA
Source: RNAcentral